GGGAUAUUGCACAAUGGGGGACACCCUGAUGCAGCGAUGCCGCGUGAAUGAAGACGGCCUUCGGGUUGUACAGUUCUGUCGCAGGGGACGAAAAUGACGGUACCCUUCAAGAAAGCUCCGGCUAACCACGUGCCCGCAGCCGCGGUAAUACGUAGGGAGCAAGCGUUGUCCGGAAUUACUGGGUGUAAAGGGAGCGUAGGCGGGAGGAUAAGUUGAAUGUGAAAUCUAUGGGCGCAACCCAUAGCUGCGUUCAAAACUGUUCUUCUUGAGUGAAGUAGAGGCAGGCGGAAUUCCUAGUGUAGCGGUGAAAUGCGUAGAUAUUAGGAGGAACACCAGUGGCGAAGGCGGCCUGCUGGGCUUUUACUGACGCUGAGGCUCGAAAGCGUGGGUAGCAAAC
Molecule: ribosomal RNA, 397 nt
Filed under: uncultured bacterium
Lineage: Bacteria
Description: bacterial SSU rRNA
Rfam family: Bacterial small subunit ribosomal RNA
Source: RNAcentral